GUGGGGAAUCUUGCGCAAUGGGCGAAAGCCUGACGCAGCCAUGCCGCGUGAAUGAUGAAGGUCUUAGGAUUGUAAAAUUCUUUCACCGGGGACGAUAAUGACGGUACCCGGAGAAGAAGCUCCGGCUAACUUCGUGCCAGCAGCCGCGGUAAUACGAAUGGGGCUAGCGUUGCUCGGAAUUACUGGGCGUAAAGGGCGCGUAGGCGGACAGCUUAGUCAGAGGUGAAAGCCCAGGGCUCAACCUUGGAAUUGCCUUUGAUACUGGCUGUCUUGAGUUUGGGAGAGGUGAGUGGAACUCCGAGUGUAGAGGUGAAAUUCGUAGAUAUUCGGAAGAACACCAGUGGCGAAGGCGACUCACUGGCCCAAUACUGACGCUGAGGCGCGAAAGCGUGGGGAGCAAACAGGAUUAGAAACCCGUGUAGUCC
RNAcentral lists this ribosomal RNA (425 nucleotides) under uncultured bacterium. RNAcentral's name for it is "partial 16S ribosomal RNA". It matches the Rfam family "Bacterial small subunit ribosomal RNA", at positions 354 to 796 of the family's 1533-position model. The record is from RNAcentral.